RNAcentral lists this ribosomal RNA (410 nucleotides) under uncultured microorganism. RNAcentral's name for it is "bacterial SSU rRNA". It matches the Rfam family "Bacterial small subunit ribosomal RNA", at positions 509 to 917 of the family's 1533-position model. The record is from RNAcentral.
CAGCCGCCGCGGUAAUACGUAGGGUGCGAGCGUUAAUCGGAUUUACUGGGCGUAAAGCGUGCGCAGGCGGCCCGUUAAGACAGGUGUGAAAUCCCUGGGCUCAACCUAGGAAUUGCGCUUGUGACUGGCGGGCUCGAGUACGGUAGAGGGGGGUGGAAUUCCUGGUGUAGCAGUGAAAUGCGUAGAGAUCAGGAGGAACACCGAUGGCGAAGGCAGUCCCCUGGGCCUGUACUGACGCUCAUGCACGAAAGCGUGGGGAGCAAACAGGAUUAGAUACCCUGGUAGUCCACGCCCUAAACGAUGGGUACUAGCCGUUUGGUGCGCGAUAGCGCUGAGUGGCGAAGCUAACGCGUGAAGUACCCCGCCUGGGGAGUACGGCCGCAAGGUUGAAACUUAAAGGAAUUGGCGGG